Molecule: ribosomal RNA, 957 nt
Filed under: uncultured bacterium
Lineage: Bacteria
Description: bacterial SSU rRNA
Rfam family: Bacterial small subunit ribosomal RNA
Source: RNAcentral
AGAGUUUGAUCCUGGCUCAGGAUGAACGCUAGCGACAGGCCUAACACAUGCAAGUCGAGGGGCAUCGGGACGUAGCAAUACGUUGCCGGCGACCGGCGGAUGGGUGAGUAACGCGUAUGCAACCUACCCGCAGCAGGGGGAUAGCCCGUUGAAAGACGGAUUAAUACCCCGUAACACAGGGGCUCCGCAUGGAGAUUAUUGUUAAAGGGUCAUUUCUUUUUCAGGGAUGGUCCGGCUGCGGAUGGGCAUGCGUUCCAUUAGGUAGUUGGUGUAGGUAAUGGCUCACCAAGCCGACGAUGGAUAGGGGAACUGAGAGGUUGGUCCCCCACACUGGUACUGAGACACGGACCAGACUCCUACGGGAGGCAGCAGUGAGGAAUUUUGGUCAAUGGACGCAAGUCUGAACCAGCCAUGUCGCGUGAAGGAGGACGGCCCUAAGGGUUGUAAACUUCUUUUGCAGUGGAAUAAAGUUUGCCACGUGUUGGCGAUUUGCAAGUACGCUGCGAAUAAGGAUCGGCUAACUCCGUGCCAGCAGCCGCGGUAAUACGGAGGAUCCAGGCGUUAUCCGGAUUUAUUGGGUUUAAAGGGUGCGCAGGCGGGGAAUUAGGUCGGCGGUGAAAUUUCGGGGCUCAACCUCGACAGUGCCGUUGAAACCGUUUCUCUUGAGUGCGGAUGAGGUAGGCGGAAUUUGUGGUGUAACGGUGAAAUGCGUAGAUAUCACAAGGAACACCGAUUGCGGAGGCAGCUUACUAAACCGUUACUGACGCUCAUGCACGAACGCGUGGGGAUCAAACAGGAUUAGAUACCCUGUAGUCCACGCAGUAAACGAUGAUUACUUGCUGUUUGCGAUACACAGUAAGCGGCGAAGCGAAAGCGUUAAGUAAUCCACCUGGGGAGUACGUUCGCAAGAAUGAAACUCAAAGGAAUUGACGGGGCCCGCACAAGCGGAGGAACAUG